CCCUUCGGGAGCCUAUACAGGUGUUGCAUGGCUGUCGUCAGCUCGUGUCGUGAGAUGUCGUUAAGUCCGCUAACGAGCGCAACCCUCGUCGUAUGUUAUAUGUGUCAUACGAGACUGCCGGUAAAAAGCCGGAGGAAGGUGAGGAUGAUGUCAAGUCAGCAUGACCUUUAUAUCCAGGGCUACACACACGCUACAAUGGUCUGUACAAUGGGUAGCCAAGCCGCGAGGCGGAGCCAAUCCUGAAAGCAGGCCUCAGUUCAGAUUGCAGUCUGCAACUCGACUGCAUGAAGCCGGAGUUGCUAGUAACCGCAGGUCAGCAAUACUGCGGUGAAUACGUUCCCGGGUCUU
Molecule: ribosomal RNA, 348 nt
Filed under: uncultured Anaerolineaceae bacterium
Lineage: Bacteria; Bacillati; Chloroflexota; Anaerolineae; Anaerolineales; Anaerolineaceae
Description: bacterial SSU rRNA
Rfam family: Bacterial small subunit ribosomal RNA
Source: RNAcentral